GAUAAACGCUGGCGGCGCGCAUAAGACAUGCAAGUUGAACGGACUUAAUCGAAAUAUUUAUAUUUUGAAGCGGUUAGUGGCGGACUGGUGAGUAACGCGUAAGGAACCUGCCUAUUAGAGGGGAAUAACAGUGAGAAAUCAUUGCUAAUACCGCAUAUGCCAUAGAUAUCACAUGAUAACAGUGGGAAAGGAGCAAUCCGCUAAUAGAUGGCCUUGCGUCUGAUUAGAUAGUUGGUGGGGUAACGGCCUACCAAGUCGACGAUCAGUAGCCGGACUGAGAGGUUGAACGGCCACAUUGGGACUGAGAUACGGCCCAGACUCCUACGGGAGGCAGCAGUCGGGAAUAUUGCGCAAUGGAGGAAACUCUGACGCAGUGACGCCGCGUAUAGGAAGAAGGUUUUCGGAUUGUAAACUAUUGUCGUUAGGGAAGAGAAAGGACAGUACCUAAGGAGGAAGCUCCGGCUAACUACGUG
This 473-nucleotide ribosomal RNA is filed under the name uncultured bacterium. RNAcentral describes it as "partial 16S ribosomal RNA". It matches the Rfam family "Bacterial small subunit ribosomal RNA", at positions 28 to 507 of the family's 1533-position model. The record is from RNAcentral.